UUUAAAAUAGCUCAGUGGUAGAGCGUUUGCCUAGCAAGCGCAAGGCCCUGGGUUCGGUCCCCAGCUCCAAAA
This 72-nucleotide transfer RNA is filed under the name Rattus norvegicus (Norway rat). It matches the Rfam family "tRNA". Rfam says of the family: Transfer RNA (tRNA) molecules are approximately 80 nucleotides in length. Their secondary structure includes four short double-helical elements and three loops (D, anti-codon, and T loops). Lineage: Eukaryota; Metazoa; Chordata; Mammalia; Rodentia; Muridae. The record is from Rfam by way of RNAcentral.